GGGUUGUGAGGUUAAGCGACUAAGCGUACACGGUGGAUGCCUAGGCAAUCAGAGGCGAUGAAGGACGUGCUAAUCUGCGAUAAGCGUCGGUAAGGUGAUAUGAACCGUUACAACCGACGAUUUCCGAAUGGGGAAACCCAGUGCAAUUCGUUGCACUAUCGUUUGAUGAAUACAUAGUCAAACGAAGCGAACCGGGGGAACUGAAACAUCUCAGUACCCCGAGGAAAAGAAAUCAACCGAGAUUCCCCUAGUAGCGGCGAGCGAACGGGGAGCAGCCCAGAGUCUUAAUCAGCAUUAGCAUCAGGAGAACGGUCUGGAAAGUCCGGCAGUAAAGGGUGAUAGCCCCGUAUCCGAAGGUGUUAGUGUUGUGAACUCGACGAGUAGGGCGGGACACGUGUUAUCCUGUCUGAAUAUGGGGGGACCAUCCUCCAAGGCUAAAUACUCCUGAUUGACCGAUAGUGAACCAGUACCGUGAGGGAAAGGCGAAAAGAACCCCGGCGAGGGGAGUGAAAUAGAACCUGAAACCGUGUACGUACAAGCAGUGGGAGCCCCAUCACUCAAGUGCCUCGGCAAUUGAGUGAGGGUGUAAAACCAUCACAAUAACAGCGCAGGAUUUGCCAACAAGAUUGGCUGAUUUUUUCAAGCCGCAGCGCAGUGGACAUCGAAGUCCAUGAGCAGCGGAAGUUAAAAAAUCGGGCAAGAUUGGCCGCAAAGACAAGCGGGACAUUUGAGGAUGGGGUGACUGCGUACCUUUUGUAUAAUGGGUCAGCGACUUAUAUUCUGUAGCAAGG
This 791-nucleotide ribosomal RNA is filed under the name Providencia rettgeri. RNAcentral's name for it is "bacterial LSU rRNA". It matches the Rfam family "Bacterial large subunit ribosomal RNA", at positions 1 to 645 of the family's 2925-position model. Lineage: Bacteria; Pseudomonadati; Pseudomonadota; Gammaproteobacteria; Enterobacterales; Morganellaceae. The record is from RNAcentral.